CGAGUGGGUAAGGAGUAUCCCUCCGAUCCUUCCUCUCCGUCUCUGCUUCAGUUCCUGCUGCCAGGUUCCUGUCUUGAGGUCCUGCCUUGGCUUCUCUCAAUGCACUGUGACCUGGGAUACAUGCUGAGCUAAGACCCACGUUAUGGCGAGAUCAUCUUGACCCUUGGCCCUUCUUGUAUCUGACAAAGCAGGAAAAGGACGGUCCCUCUGGACCAAUGUGGCAGUGCCGCUUCAGGCUCAGGGAUGGGCUGUAUGGACUGGACACCAGGAUCUAGAGAAGACCCUGGCACACUUCCUACACAACAACUGGCUUCUACAAUGAGCUCUUCAGGUUCAGAAGCCUCACACCUCCCAGAAGGCUGUUUUGGCUUCUGUUACCCAAGUCACAUUUUACAAAUGGGGAACCAAGUCGCCUGCUCCAAACCACAGGGCCGAUAUCUGGCCAGAUAUGAGAUCAGAUCUAUCCUCUUGAAAUGUUUUGAUGGCUAUGCUAGCAGCUUAUCUUUCACAGGAUGAUGCCAGGAUGGGGCAAAGGCUCAGAAUGGCAGG
Molecule: long non-coding RNA, 549 nt
Organism: Rattus norvegicus (Norway rat)
Lineage: Eukaryota; Metazoa; Chordata; Mammalia; Rodentia; Muridae
Source: RefSeq, a predicted model, not a curated record